RNAcentral lists this ribosomal RNA (1689 nucleotides) under Seritia elegans. Its description in RNAcentral is "eukaryotic LSU rRNA". It matches the Rfam family "Eukaryotic large subunit ribosomal RNA", at positions 37 to 1490 of the family's 3401-position model. The record is from RNAcentral. Lineage: Eukaryota; Metazoa; Platyhelminthes; Rhabdocoela; Umagillidae.
AGCAUAUCAAUAACCGGAGGAAAAGAAACUAACAAGGAUUCCUUUAGUAACGGCGAGUGAAUAAGGAAAAGCCCAGGCAUGAAUCCCGUGGAGUGACUCCAUCGGGAAAUGUAGCAUUUGGGCAUUCUCAUGGUUUCUUCAUGUUAAAGUCCUAAGUUCGUAUGAUUGCGACUUUCUUUCCCAGAGAGGGUGUAAGGCCCGUAAGGACUAGCAUGUUGAAGCUGGAGAAGGCCUACGAGUCGGGUUGUUUGGGAAUGCAGCUCAAAUUGGGUGGUAAACUCCAUCUAAGGCUAAAUACGGCACGAUUCCGAUAGCGAACAAGUACCAUGAGGGAAAGUUGAAAAGAACUUUGAAGAGAGAGUUCAAUAGUACGUGAAAUUGCUCAGAGGUAAGCGGGUGUAGCCGAAAGGGGAGUGUUAGUUAAUGCUGGUCGUAUAAAGUCGCAUUUCGUUGUGUAUCAGGUGCUCAUUGCAUUUUUUGUAAUGUGUAUUAGAACGCAUGUUGUGUUGUCUUUAGUAUCGGUUGGUAUGUUGCUGCACACCUAUACCACAAGUGGUGGGCCUAGAGACUCUUCCUCAAGAAGGUCGCGUGUGUGCUUCAUUGUACAUGCGUAUGUUGUCUUGGGGUGUGGGUACUCUAUGGGUCAAUCAUAUGCGGUCAGUCUCAAAGUAUUCCUUGUUCUCCAGUAUUUCGGUCACGAAUGACUCCUAUGAGUCUGAUUGGUUUGUAGUGCUUGGAGUGAACAGGCUCUGAUCUGAGAAAAGACUUUGUGGUUCCAAAAGUAGGUAGUAUACCCGACCCGUCUUGAAACACGGACCAAGGAGUUUAGUUUGUGCGCAAGUCAUUGGGCCUUACGAAACCCAAAGGCGUAAUGAAGGUGAAGGCUUCUCUUUAGAGUUGCUAAGGUGUGAUCCGUAAAUCCGUUUUUUAUUAAACGGGGUGCGGCGCAACACCCACUCGUCCGUAACUUUUUAAGUUGGGCGACGUAAGAGCGUGCAGACUGAGACCCGAAAGAUGGUGAUCUAUGCUUGCGUAGGCUGAAGCCAGAGGAAACUCUGGUGGAGGGCCGCAGCGGUUCUGACGUGCAAAUCGAUCGUCAAACGUGAGUAUAGGGGCGAAAGACUAAUCGAACCAUCUAGUAGCUGGUUCCCUCCGAAGUUUCCCUCAGGAUAGCUGGCGCUCGGAAAACAGUUUUAUCCGGUAAAGCGAACAUUUAGACGUAAUGGGGUCGAAACGACCUCAACGUAUUCGUGAACUUUUAAUGGGUGAGAUGUCUGGCUAUCUUUAUUUGUAGCUUGACAUUGAAUGUGAGUGCCUAGUGGGCCAAUUUUGGUAAGCAGAACUGGCGCUGUGGGAUGAACCAAACGUGCAUUUACGGUGCCAAACACAACGCUCAUGAGAUACCACAAAAGGUGUUGGUUGAUAUAGACAGCAGGACGGUGGCCAUGGAAGUCGGAAUCCGCUAAGGAGUGUGUAACAACUCACCUGCCGAAUCAACCAGCCCUGAAAAUGGAUGGCGCUGGAGCGUUGGACCUAUAAUGCACCGUGACCUCAAGCCGCUUGAGGAAGAGGUCACGAGUAGGAGGGCGAUAUGGUAAGCAUAGAAGCUGUGGUUGUAAAACCAGGUGAAGCUGCCAUAUGUGCAGAUCUUGGUGGUAGUAGCAAUUAUUCAAGUGAGAACCUUGAAGA